GUCUUGUGCUGGAAAAGGGCCUAUCACCUACCUUCCUCUGGACCAGCUUUUGCAGAUGAAUUACUCUCUACCAUGGUCUUAGAAGGAGCAGUCAAGAAUGCCUCCCUUCCUUACCAUGCUGGCCUGGGCUGUUCAUGCCAGACUGCUUGCUCUGCUCUGUGAUCUGCAGAGGACUUUCAAGCACAACCUGGAGACAGAGUGUGGGCAGGGGGCCACAGAGCUCAGCUGCAGCUGAGAAGGGGUUUUCCCUUCUGGUCCUCUGCCAGUGCCAAGGAAGCCAAGAGAAGAUGAGACCAUGCUUCUGCAAAUGCAAAUAAAGAGACCUGCAGGUACAACUUCAU
Molecule: long non-coding RNA, 341 nt
Filed under: Gallus gallus (chicken)
Lineage: Eukaryota; Metazoa; Chordata; Aves; Galliformes; Phasianidae
Source: RNAcentral